CGGUCUGGAAUAACUCGGCGAAAGCCGUGCUAAUACCGGAUAGAGCUCUGUGUUGAGAUACAUAGAGAUAAAGCGGAGGACUUCUUCGGAAGCUUCGUGCCUUUGGAUGAGUCCGCGGCCCAUCAGCUAGUUGGCGGGGUAAUGGCCCACCAAGGCUAAGACGGGUAGCUGGUCUGAGAGGAUGAUCAGCCACACUGGAACUGAGACACGGUCCAG
Molecule: ribosomal RNA, 216 nt
Filed under: uncultured bacterium
Lineage: Bacteria
Description: partial 16S ribosomal RNA
Rfam family: Bacterial small subunit ribosomal RNA
Source: RNAcentral